CUUUAACUCUGGCGGCAUGCUUUACACAUGCAAGUCGAACGGCAGCGCGGGCUUCGGCCUGGCGGCGAGUGGCGAACGGGUGAGUAAUGCAUCGGAACGUGCCCAGUAGUGGGGGAUAGCCCGGCGAAAGCCGGAUUAAUACCGCAUACGACCUGAGGGUGAAAGCGGGGGACCGAAAGGCCUCGCGCUAUUGGAGCGGCCGAUGUCGGAUUAGCUAGUUGGUGGGGUAAAGGCUUACCAAGGCGACGAUCCGUAGCUGGUCUGAGAGGACGACCAGCCACACUGGGACUGAGACACGGCCCAGACUCCUACGGGAGGCAGCAGUGGGGAAUUUUGGACAAAGGGGGCAACCCUGAUCCAGCCAUGCCGCGUGCGGGAAGAAGGCCUUCGGGUUGUAAACCGCUUUUGUUCGGGAAGAAAUCCUCUGGGCUAAUACCCCGGGGGGAUGACGGUACCGGAAGAAUAAGCACCGGCUAACUACGUG
Molecule: ribosomal RNA, 484 nt
Filed under: uncultured bacterium
Lineage: Bacteria
Description: partial 16S ribosomal RNA
Rfam family: Bacterial small subunit ribosomal RNA
Source: RNAcentral